UGGGGAAUAUUGGACAAUGGGCGAAAGCCUGAUCCAGCCAUACCGCGUGAGUGAUGAAGGCCCUAGGGUUGUAAAGCUCUUUUGUGCGGGAAGAUAAUGACGGUACCGCAAGAAUAAGCCCCGGCUAACUUCGUGCCAGCAGCCGCGGUAAUACGAAGGGGGCUAGCGUUGCUCGGAAUCACUGGGCGUAAAGGGUGCGUAGGCGGGUUUCUAAGUCAGAGGUGAAAGCCUGGAGCUCAACUCCAGAACUGCCUUUGAUACUGGAAGUCUUGAGUUCGGGAGAGGUGAGUGGAACUGCGAGUGUAGAGGUGAAAUUCGUAGAUAUUCGCAAGAACACCAGUGGCGAAGGCGGCUCACUGGCCCGAUACUGACGCUGAGGCACGAAAGCGUGGGGAGCAAACA
Molecule: ribosomal RNA, 402 nt
Filed under: uncultured bacterium
Lineage: Bacteria
Description: bacterial SSU rRNA
Rfam family: Bacterial small subunit ribosomal RNA
Source: RNAcentral